This 197-nucleotide ribosomal RNA is filed under the name uncultured bacterium. RNAcentral describes it as "partial 16S ribosomal RNA". It matches the Rfam family "Bacterial small subunit ribosomal RNA", at positions 326 to 539 of the family's 1533-position model. The record is from RNAcentral.
ACGCUCGACACCUACGGGAAGCAGCAGUGGGGAAUAUUGCACAAUGGGGGAAACCCUGAUGCAGCAACGCCGCGUGAAGGAAGACGGUUUUCGGAUUGUAAACUUCUGUUCUUAGUGAAGAUAGUGACGGUAGCUAAGGAGCAAGCCACGGCUAACUACGUGCCACAGCCGCGGUAAUCUGAGCGGGCUGGCAAGGC